Molecule: ribosomal RNA, 770 nt
Filed under: uncultured bacterium
Lineage: Bacteria
Description: bacterial SSU rRNA
Rfam family: Bacterial small subunit ribosomal RNA
Source: RNAcentral
GACGAACGCUGGCGGCGUGCCUAAUACAUGCAAGUCGAGCGAAYKGACGAAGAAAGCUUGCUUUCUUCUGAUGUUAGCGGCGGACGGGUGAGUAACACGUGGGCAACCUGCCCUUUAGUUUGGGAUAACUUCGGGAAACCGGAGCUAAUACCGAAYAAUACUCYAAGCCUCAUGGUUUGAAGUUGAAAGACGGUUUCGGCUGUCGCUAAAGGAUGGGCCCGCGGUGCAUUAGCUAGUUGGUGAGGUAACGGCUYACCAAGGCAACGAUGCAUAGCCGACCUGAGAGGGUGAUCGGCCACACUGGGACUGAGACACGGCCCAGACUCCUACGGGAGGCAGCAGUAGGGAAUCUUCCACAAUGGACGAAAGUCUGAUGGAGCAACGCCGCGUGAGUGAUGAAGGAUUUCGGUUCGUAAAACUCUGUUGCAAGGGAAGAACAAGUAGCGUAGUAACUGGCGCUACCUUGACGGUACCUUGUUAGAAAGCCACGGCUAACUACGUGCCAGCAGCCGCGGUAAUACGUAGGUGGCAAGCGUUGUCCRGAAUUAUUGGGCGUAAAGCGCGCGCAGGUGGUUUCUURAGUCUGAUGUGAAAGCCCCCGGCUCAACCGGGGAGGGUCAUUGGAAACUGGGAGACUUGAGUGCAGAAGAGGAUAGUGGAAUUCCAAGUGUAGCGGUGAAAUGCGUAGAGAUUUGGAGGAACACCAGUGGCGAAGGCGACUGUCUGGUCUGUAACUGACACUGAGGCGCGAAAGCGUGGGGAGCAAACAG